GUGCCUUCGGGAACUCUGAGACAGGUGCUGCAUGGCUGUCGUCAGCUCGUGUUGUGAAAUGUUGGGUUAAGUCCCGCAACGAGCGCAACCCUUAUCCUUUGUUGCCAGCGAUUCGGUCGGGAACUCAAAGGAGACUGCCGGUGAUAAACCGGAGGAAGGUGGGGAUGACGUCAAGUCAUCAUGGCCCUUACGAGUAGGGCUACACACGUGCUACAAUGGCGUAUACAAAGAGAAGCGACCUCGCGAGAGCAAGCGGACCUCAUAAAGUACGUCGUAGUCCGGAUUGGAGUCUGCAACUCGACUCCAUGAAGUCGGAAUCGCUAGUAAUCGUAGAUCAGAAUGCUACGGUGAAUACGUUCCCGGGCCUUGUACACACCGCCCGUCACACCAUGGGAGUGGGUUGCAAAAGAAGUAGGUAGCUUAACCUUCGGGAGGGCGCUUACCACUUUGUGAUUCAUGACUGGGGUGAAGUCGUAACAAGGUAACCGUAGGGGAACCUGCGGUUGGAUCACCUCCUUACCAAGAAG
Molecule: ribosomal RNA, 527 nt
Filed under: Pectobacterium brasiliense
Lineage: Bacteria; Pseudomonadati; Pseudomonadota; Gammaproteobacteria; Enterobacterales; Pectobacteriaceae
Description: bacterial SSU rRNA
Rfam family: Bacterial small subunit ribosomal RNA
Source: RNAcentral